RNAcentral lists this ribosomal RNA (484 nucleotides) under uncultured bacterium. RNAcentral's name for it is "partial 16S ribosomal RNA". It matches the Rfam family "Bacterial small subunit ribosomal RNA", at positions 30 to 507 of the family's 1533-position model. The record is from RNAcentral.
AUUGAACGCUGGCGGCAGGCCUAACACAUGCAAGUCGAGCGGAUGAAGGGAGCUUGCUCCUGGAUUCAGCGGCGGACGGGUGAGUAAUGCCUAGGAAUCUGCCUGGUAGUGGGGGAUAACGUCCGGAAACGGGCGCUAAUACCGCAUACGUCCUGAGGGAGAAAGUGGGGGAUCUUCGGACCUCACGCUAUCAGAUGAGCCUAGGUCGGAUUAGCUAGUUGGUGGGGUAAAGGCCUACCAAGGCGACGAUCCGUAACUGGUCUGAGAGGAUGAUCAGUCACACUGGAACUGAGACACGGUCCAGACUCCUAAGGGAGGCAGCAGUGGGGAAUAUUGGACAAUGGGCGAAAGCAUGAUCCAGCCAGGCCGCGUGUGUGAAGAAGGUCUUCGGAUUGUAAAGAACUUUAAGGUGGGAGGAAGGGCAGUAAGUUAAUACCUUGCUGUUUUGACGUUACCAACAGAAUAAGCACCGGCUAACUACGUG